UUUCAGGAGUAGAAUUUAGUGAUUCAUCACUUACACCCAGUGGUUAUCACAGCCUUUUAUCUGUCUCUGGGCUCCACAACGAGGGCCAUCUGGUCAAGAAUGGCUACAUCCAUUUGUUUAUUUGUUGUCUGUAACUGCUUUUGUGGCUACAAGAGAGGAAUUGAAUAGUUGCCGUAGCGACCUAUGGCUCACAAAACUGAAGGUAUUUACUAUCUGGCCCUUUACAGAACCAGGUUACCAAACCCUGGAUUCUACCUUAUAAAUUAGUUCUUCAAAGUUAAGCCAAUUUUGCUAAAUAUUUUAAUACUUGUUAGUACUUCUUUCAAACUCAUUAUUUACAGAUAUAAGACCAAGGAAAAUACAAUUUACUUCCCUCUGAUCUUAUACAACUCAUUGUAUAUUCUCAAAAUUUGUUUUUUACUAUUUCUUUUCACAUUCUUGCAUGAUCAAAUUUUAAGACAAAAUUCAUUUUUUCCUGUAUAAAGCAACAGCGAAGUCACAUCCCUUAUUUUAUAAAUGCAUUUAUAUUCCUUUGUAAUGAUUAUACCUACUGUAGUCUCGAUCUUUUUCUUAAUUGGUUUCAACCUUUAAUUGAGGUAAUUGACUUCCUUCCACAGGUAUAGGGACUUCUGGGAAACAAACAGGUAGUUGAGAGCAGGUUGUCAACACAAGCUCCUUUCAGAUCGACAGAGCUCCAGUUUGGGCUGCUGUGCCUCGUAGGCACACAUGGUAGGCAUUUGCCUGUGGUCACCUACAUCCACUUCACCCUUCUUAAGGAUACACGUAAAAUUCAAGAUAGCUCUGGCUCUUAGCCAUUCAUGCUUGGAUGACAAGGAAGAGAUGAACCAUGCUGCUGUCUGAGCAAUUGGUGCAGGAAGCAAGCAUCACCGAGGAAAUCAGAGCUUCUCUGGGAAAGGCAUUACUGUUUUCGCUUGAUCAAUGACACCAGAGUCCAUCUGGGCAGCACUAAAAUUUCCCUACUUUUUCCUACCCCCAUGGGAGCACCGAUCACAAUGUCUUUCCUGCAGUGAAGGUGUUCAUCAUGCACAAGGAUGGGAAUGAUGACAGAAAUGAUCACUUUUGCAACAAGAUUUCUGGAAGAAUUUGACCUUGAUGCUGAAGGUAUAUCAAUCAUCCUCAGGAUGAUGGAGCAGGAAGAGAAAGAGCCUCUUCCCUUGGUGGCAUUUUAAGGUGCUGUAUGAGCCCUGAUUUGCUUAAACCAAGACUUCAUUUCACAUGGAGUAAAUAAGUCCCUCCUUUGGGUAAGUCCUCAUUCAUCAGGUUUUAUGGUACUUGUGCAAAACCUAAUCCUAACAUAUCUCAAUUUAUGAAUCAAUGUCCAUAGCAUAUGGCAAAUGUAUGCUAAAAUAAAUUUCAGUAGGGUAGUUCACCUGCUAAUUGAGUUCAUUGAGAAAGCUGAUAUGGGUUACCAAGAGGCCCAGUUAGAGUAAGAAAACUAUCUAGAUCUGAAAAGCUGAGUUUGUAUGGAGUGGUUUUGAAGGCUCAGAAUGUGACCUGUGGUUGUGUCUGAGAUAACUCUCCAACAUUAACUGAUCAAGGCACUAUGAUUCAGGGAUGUCAUUACUAUAUUUGGGGCCAUCUAUCCUAGUUUAUCUCCUAAAAAUAAAAUAAAAUGGCCAUCAAAGGGCAUGGGAAAGGAAGUACCAGGGUAAAAACAUGCCUGCAAACCACACUGCUCUAGGAAUGUUGUCACAGUGGGGCCUGAAGGUAGCCUGUGGCCUGUUGGAAGGAAAGAAGAUAAAACACAGAAGAUAAAACACCUUUAGCAAAGGUGCUAAAAUAUAUUUAUAAAGCGUAAGUCUUUAUACUUCCCAAUUAUGCAAAACCUUCCAUAAUUCCAUGAGGGGAAUUCCAUAAGGGGAAAAGUUGUAUUUCAACAUUUGAACUUUAAUGUUAUUUGAAGAUAAAACCAAUUUUCCUUGAACUAACACUGAAACAAUUAGACCCAUUGGUAUUUUGAAAAACACUUCUGGUGAGCUCAUCAGAGUUUGGAAGCUCUGUGAAAACAGCUGUUCCAUAACUUAUAUCAGCUUAAUAGAAACAACAGAAUUCUCUAGACUUAUUUGGGGUCCAUUCAUUAACCUGCUUUGCCUUGUGGCUCAGUUUUCACUUUCCUUGGGUUCCAGUCCUAUGGAGCAAACCACAAAGAGCCCAGUACUUUGGCCACAAACAUGGGUUUUCAAUUUGGAAAGAUAGUCUCUUUCAUUCUGUCCCGAGGCCAGAUGGAGAGGCCACAAAUUUGCUUAGCCCCAGGUACCUCUGGUCCACUCUUUACAGUAGCAACCCCUGUACAUCUUCUGUAAAAGCACACCCCUCUUUGAGGAAACAUACCCUCUCACACAUUAUUAAUUGAUACAGUUCUUGGGAAGACAAUUUGAUAAGAGCUGCCAACAUUCCAAAUGCAUGCUUGCUUUGACCAAGAAAUUCCAUUUCCAGGACUUCAACAGUUAAAUCUAUACAUAUGAACAAAGACAGAUGUCCAAAGUUACUUAUUGCUAUAGUUUUUAUAAUAGGAGGAGACGGGGGAGUGGGGGUGGAGAGUUCAUUAACGAAUGACAAAGUAAAAAAAUUACUGUCUUUGAAAGGAUGUCAAUGUGUUUGUAUGCAACCUGAGUUAGGGUGGAAAUCUAACAACCAUGGGGGAGCUGGUCCACAAAUCAAAGCCAUCCUGGCUCUUAUUGACAUAACUGAGCUGCAGAAUUAACUUUCAGUAGAGGUGCCUUAUCUUUGGCCUUCUUAUUUUGUAAGAUUAUAAAUCUUCUUCGUGGUUUUAGAAAACUGAAACUGAAUUCUCUAUUACUUUCAGAAUGUAUUACUAAUACAUUCUCUAUUACUUUUGAACCAUCCCAAGAGAGUAUCCUUUGAGAAAGAAGGUUCGGAGAAAUGCUCUGAGAUGACAUUCCUGUUGGUAAGUUGAGGGAGACCUAUGGCUCUAUGUACCUUCACACUAUGAGACCCCAGCUUCCAUUCCAAUAGCUUAUAUCUCUGAGAAUGUUGCCCUAAGUUUCCCACAGGACCAUUCUCCAUUAUUUUAAAUGGACCCAUGGAAGGAGCUGGAUGAGGGGAAACACUUCAUGGAGGCCUGCAUUUUCCAUCUCUGAGACUCAGGAGACCCAAUAUGUAGUCGCAAGAUUUCUAACUUAGCACUGUUUCUCCCAUGGUCCUGCAGGUGGUCAGAGUUCUUAUUUCAGGUCUUGAAACUGUUCCAGUUGCUUCAUGCAGAAAAGAAUUCAUUAAAGGAUAAACUCUUUGGGAUUAAGUGAUAAAACAGUACACCCUAUGUUGAGUUUCCAGAAACAACUCCCCCUCAAAACCUCACCACAGAAACAGCCCAUCAAGAAUGCUGCUACCUUUGCCUCAGUUAGGAAGCUCCAGAAUCUAGAAUAUUCCACCAGAGCCAUCUGCUCCAGACCACACUGCUCCCACCUCUGUUUGGGUUACAAGCAGGAUAUUCACAGCCUAUUUCUGUCCCCACAUAACUUAGUUCUUUCAUAACUAUUUAAAACUUUUUUUAUGUUUAAUAAUAUACUUGGAGAAUAUAGGAUAUCUCAGUGUUACAACUCAAUUUUGAGGCAAGCUCUCAAGUAACUGGAUUGGAGCUAAAUAACAUCUGCAUCUUAGGAGCAAGGGAGGCUAGGAAACAGAUGGCCACAUUUAACCCUCUGGAGUCCGGGGAGGCUGGAAGUGCAAUGGAUCUCUAGGCACAUCCAAUCCACAAUAUCCACAUCCUCUAAAAUGGAAACAAUCCAUCCUCACACCACAAAGGGAAUGUUCUUCAAACCCAACCCUAUCCAUACUGAAGAUAAGACCUCUCAAUAAGCCUAGAAGGUAGUCACUGCUGUUGCCUCGGGAGCAGGUCUCUCUACAUAGCCCUUUAAGUGUGUAUAUGAAAGGAAGUCAAUGUCUUCCUAGAAAAUCCGCUUUCAAUGUGGUGAAAUGUGCUUGUCAUUCCCAUGAUCACAUUUAAGGUUCUUUUGUCAGUGAAGUAAGCAUUCUGCUUUGUAUGGGUUCUUGUGACUAGAAGCAUGGGACUGGAGCUAAUAAUCAUAAUAAAUUACAAAAACAAAAGUGUGGCUGGUCAGAAAAACACAAGGCCAGUCUCAACUCAGCACUAUGCUACUGUUUUGGAAUUGUCAGUAUGUGCCUGCACAUGCAAAAUGGAGGUGAGGAUUACAGCUAUUAUCAGAAUACUUUCAAAUUUAAACAAAAUGAUAUUUUCCUGCAAUUAUCUGGGUGUUUCAGAUAAAUUCUGGGGUAAUUUUGUUCAAAAAAAAUCUUCAUAAUUGACACAGUUAUCUCAUACGUGUACUUCUAGACAUUGCUAAAAAUGUACUGCAAUCAAAGUAGUGCUAUAGGUGAACCCUGUUUUCAGCUUCACAGAGAAGCUGGGAAAGAACAUACGAGAUCAAGAAAUUUCUCUGCUAUCCAAUGUAACAAAAUGCACAUAAAAAUAAGUUAGAAUAGCUAAAAAGAAGAGAGAGAGAAAGAAAAAAAAGAAAGAAAAGAAAGAAAGAAAGAAAGAAAGAAAGAAAGAAAGAAAGAAAGAAAGAAAGAAAGAAAGUCAGAAAACAACCAAACUAAGGUUCACAGUCUCCUAAUGUAAGUUUAAAAAUACCAUCUACAGAGAGAACAUUCCAGAAAUUGGUCAUAGUUUAUACUUGACUCCUUCACAAGCAGUACAAUGAACAGAAAUAUGAAGACAUAAAGUUCUGAAAAAGUGGAUGGUCCCAAUUUGGAGGGAAGUAGGGAGACCGUGUGAGGGAUGGGAUUUGGAAAGGAAGCCAAGAAAAGUGUCAGAAGGGUCUUUAAACAGUUUCUCUCUACCACGAGAGAACAAUAGCUGUUCAUACAAUAGAGCUGGGACAAACUGCUAAGAACUGGCAUUUUCUGUUUAUUUGUUUUACUAGCUGGGAGAAACACAGAGUAUAAACAGGGAAGGAACAAACGUGAUGAACUCCUACUUUGCCUGUUUUCUCAUGCCUUUCCACGUAUAUUCCAGAGAGAAGCAGGAGACAGACAGAUAGGGAGGGUAGGGAGGAAAUUAUUGCCUAAAGCAGCUUGUCUUUAAGAGAAGAGGAGGGUUUGGGUUCACUUGGAAUCUGUUGAACAAUCUGAACCAGGUAUAAUACUAUUCAGGCUAUUUCUUUCAUCAUAGCUAAGUUUUGGUCAUUUAUGGUUUUUGAGAAAUUAUUCCAUUUAAUCUAAGUUGUUGAAUUUAUAUUUGAGAGUUGUUUAUAACAUUCCUUAUUAUCCUUUUAUUUAAGUUGCUUAUUAUCCUUUUAAUGUCUGUGAGGCUUGUAAUGAUUUCCCCUCCUUCAAUCUUGAUAACAGUAAAUUGUUUCUUUCCUCUUUUCUUCUUUCUUUCUCUCUCUCUCCUUCCUUCCUUCCCUCCCUCCCUCCUUCCUUCCUUCCUUCCUUCCUUCCUUCCUUCCUUCCUUCCUUCCUUCCUUCCUUCCUUCCUUCCUUCCUCUUUCUCUUACACUCUUUGCUCUACCUUUAAAAUAUAUCUGGAAUCCAACCAUUUCUCACCUCUUUCCUGCCACCACCUUAGUCCUAGUGACCAUGAUGUCUCUACAGGAUUAAUCUACUAGCCUCCGGACAGGCCUCUGUACCUCCACUCAUGCUGCUCAUCAGGUUCUCAACAGAGUAGUGAGAGUGACUCUGUUAAAAAUAUAGGUCAGAUCAUAUCACUUCUCUGCUUCAAAACCUGCAAUGGCUCUCUAGUUCACUUAUAUAAGCACAAAAAUAUGUACACAGUCCUGGAUGAUCUCUCUUCUUCCACUCCUCUCUGACCUCACCUACUAUCCUCUUCCUCUCCCACUUUGCUCCAGCCACAAUGGCUUCCUUGCUCAUCUUGGAAAAUGCCAGGCACAUACCCACCCUAGGGGCUUUACAUCAGGUUUUCUUCUGCCUCUGAUGCUCUGCUCAGUUUUGUUUUGUUUUGUUUUGCUUGGCUUAUUCCCUCAUUUUCUUCAAGUCUUUGCUCAGUGUCACCUUUUCAAUGAGACCUGAUCUGACCAUCUGUGGUAUAGUAAAUACAUUUGGUCUUUGUUCCCAGUUCCUGGUCUAGAGUUCCUAAAACUCUUGUAAUUUUUUGAGUGAUAAGGGUGCUAGGAGUAUCUUUUGUUCUAAUAUUUGGUGGUUAA
Long non-coding RNA from Felis catus (domestic cat), 6167 nucleotides. RefSeq lists it as uncharacterized. The record is from RefSeq and is a predicted model, not a curated record. Lineage: Eukaryota; Metazoa; Chordata; Mammalia; Carnivora; Felidae. The transcript has 4 exons.